This 492-nucleotide ribosomal RNA is filed under the name uncultured bacterium. Its description in RNAcentral is "partial 16S ribosomal RNA". It matches the Rfam family "Bacterial small subunit ribosomal RNA", at positions 29 to 507 of the family's 1533-position model. The record is from RNAcentral.
AGUGAACGCUGGCGGUAGGCCUAACACAUGCAAGUCGAACGGCAGCACAGUAAGAGCUUGCUCUUACGGGUGGCGAGUGGCGGACGGGUGAGGAAUACAUCGGAAUCUACUUUUUCGUGGGGGAUAACGUAGGUAAACUUACGCUAAUACCGCAUACGACCUACGGGUGAAAGCAUGGGAUCUUCGGACCUUUCGCGGUUGAAUGAGCCGAUGUCGGAUUAGCUAGUUGGCGGGGUAAAGGCCCACCAAGGCGACGAUCCGUAGCUGGUCUGAGAGGAUGAUCAGCCACACUGGAACGGAGACACGGUCCAGACUCCUACGGGAGGCAGCAGUGGGGAAUAUUGGACAAUGGGCGCAAGCCUGAUCCAGCCAUACCGCGUGGGUGAAGAAGGCCUUCGGGUUGUAAAGACCUUUUGUUGGGAAAGAAAAGCAGCAGGUUAAUACCCCGCUGUUCUGACGGUACCCAAAGAAUAAGCACCGGCUAACUUCGUG